RNAcentral lists this ribosomal RNA (490 nucleotides) under uncultured bacterium. RNAcentral describes it as "partial 16S ribosomal RNA". It matches the Rfam family "Bacterial small subunit ribosomal RNA", at positions 28 to 507 of the family's 1533-position model. The record is from RNAcentral.
GAUGAACGCUAGCGAUAGGCUUAACACAUGCAAGUCGAGGGGCAGCAUGGUCUUAGCUUGCUAAGACUGAUGGCGACCGGCGCACGGGUGCGUAACGCGUAUGCAACUUGCCUCACAGAGGGGGAUAACCCGUCGAAAGACGGACUAAUACCGCGUACACUUGGGAUAGGGCAUCCUGACCCAAGGAAAUGAAAUUCGCUGUGAGAUAGGCAUGCGUCCCAUUAGCUAGUUGGUGAGGUAACGGCUCACCAAGGCGACGAUGGGUAGGGGAACUGAGAGGUUGAACCCCGACACUGGUACUGGGACACGGACCAGACACCUACGGGAGGCAGCAGUGAGGAAUAUUGGUCAAGGGGCGAGAGCCUGAACCAGCCAAGUCGCGUGAAGGAUGACUGUCUUAUGGAUUGUAAACUUCUUUUAUACGGGAAUAACAAGAGUCACGUGUGGCUCCCUGCAUGUACCGGAUGAAUAAGCAUCGGCUAACUCCGUG